RNAcentral lists this non-coding RNA (159 nucleotides) under Pseudomonas sp. 8AS. RNAcentral describes it as "FMN riboswitch aptamer (RFN element)". It matches the Rfam family "FMN riboswitch aptamer (RFN element)". From Rfam's summary of the family: The RFN element is a highly conserved domain that is found frequently in the 5'-untranslated regions of prokaryotic mRNAs that encode for flavin mononucleotide (FMN) biosynthesis and transport proteins. This element is a metabolite-dependent riboswitch that directly binds FMN in the absence of proteins. The record is from Rfam by way of RNAcentral. Lineage: Bacteria; Pseudomonadati; Pseudomonadota; Gammaproteobacteria; Pseudomonadales; Pseudomonadaceae.
CAACGUUCUCAGGGCGGGGUGCAAUUCCCCACCGGCGGUAAUGACAUGCUGAGUGUCUAGCCCGCGAGCGCUUGCCUACCCUGACCCGGGCGGCAAGGUCAGCAGACCCGGUGUGAUUCCGGGGCCGACGGUCAUAGUCCGGAUAAAGAGAGAGCGGGA